RNAcentral lists this long non-coding RNA (912 nucleotides) under Brassica rapa (field mustard). RNAcentral describes it as "long non-coding RNA (BRAP_LNC005653)". Lineage: Eukaryota; Viridiplantae; Streptophyta; Magnoliopsida; Brassicales; Brassicaceae. The record is from RNAcentral.
AUAAAGUCGGUAAGAGUUUACGCUGUCUUAGAGAUAGAAAAAGCAAGAUACCAACUAUAUAAAGAGAAGAUCGAAUAACCCAUUCACAACACAUAUUUUCGGCAUAAGGACUAGGCUUUCCUCUUCUUAGUUCUUGGUCGGAUUUCUUUGCAAUCGUCUUAUUAAUCAUCAAUAAAUGUCAUUUAAAUAACUUACCAUUGAAAUCGUGCUCUUAUUCAAUACACAGUUUCAUAUUAAACAGAUGUAGAUACUUAUUCUUCUACCAGAAAAGCUUGGACACUCUAAACGUUUUUUUUUUUUUUUUUUUGCUAACCGAGUAUCCUGGUUCCACUGAAGUGGUCCAGACUAGAGACUGAAGUGAGUAUGGACGCUGUCAGGGCGUCACCAUGUGGCUCACCGUGUAACGGUCUUCGGUCUCAGAUGCUGCAACCUGGCUCUGAUACCAUAUCAAGAUUGUGAAUGUUGAAGAAGAUGAAGAUCGGAGAAGAGAAUCAAGUUUGUUAUGAAAAGUAUUUACUUCAACAUUAACUGUAAAAUGUACAAUCAAGUCAGCUUAUAUACAAGCAUUUAACUCAACUAACAUAAGCUUAACUAACAUCUAACCACACUAACCAACACCCUGAGUUAACAACACGUGAAUUACACGUGAUAGUGACCAAGGCUCGAACCCAGAGGCGGACACUCCAGCUGGAACUCCUAUACCACUAGACCAAAGCAACUUGGUUAACUCUAAACGUUUCUGUCAAUUCUAUUAUUGUAUCUAAUGUGGAAGGGAGGUCAUCGUAAUUUGAUAUCCUAAUUUUGGUGAAUUCCAUUCUUAUUUGUGGAAUUCGAAAUUAAUUCAACUUUCAUAUUAUUUAAUUUAUAUUAUCAAAGCAUUUUUAUUUUUAUUUUUGUUGAUUACACCUACUU